AACAAAAAAAAUCAAAGAUUAACGUCGAAUAGGAACGAUGCACACGGUAUUGGCUUCUUACCUCGUAGUACAUGUUUCCAUUGUCCUUGCACCACACCACAUGUUCCACUUUGAGCUUCUUCAACAGUUCGUGUAACACCUUUGCAAAUUGAUAACAGAAAAGAAACGAAACAAAAGUUGCAAGUCACAUAUCUAUACCUCGGAGGAAUCAUCAUCGUCGAGUUUCAAUAGUUGUGUUCUCGUUCUUGUCUCCCUGAUACGUAGGUCCACCCUUGGUGCAGGCGCUAGGUUUCCAUCCUUCUCGUUUCUGGGCUUCUUCAAGGGAACGCCAAAAAUGAGCUCGUGCUCGAAGCUCGAUGUGGGUGUAGAUCAAUCUCGAGCGGAUAGUCGAAGCAUCGAUUUCAUUAGCAUCUCGCUAAUUGCUUUGUUGCUUUGCUCUUAAUUAGCGUGACGUCGAUGAUGAAUCAGUCGAGGCUCGUUUAUCUUCUACGAUUGUUCUACGGCCAUACUUAAGGAGAGGAGCGCUUGGACAAUUUCCGUAUGUCUGUCGCCUCUAAGGACUUGGACGAUCCCAGGCAAGAUGCCAGUUUAUUGUACAGGAUCCAUUCGUAUAAAUGCAUUUCACACUUCAGGGAUGAAUUCAUCAUAUAAAAAUAAUGGAAAAUGUUUAGUAAAUACGGGAUCACUUUUGCUCUGCUUCCAAGUUGUAACUAUUAAUCAGAAGAAGAUGCUACUCCAAAGCAUUUUUAGCUUUCUAAAGAAUAUGUAACAUUCGGAAUGUACAUUGCCUUUGUCUAAGUUAUUAACCUGUAACGAAAGCUUACUAAGUUUUUACGUUGAAUCCACGUCUCAAGUGAAUUUCAUUUCCACGAAUGCGCCAUAUACAUAAAUGCAUGCGAUGAACGAAGCAUUUUGUUGUAUUAUUAUCUCUAUUUUCUUUUCAGAGAUCUUUCUGGUGAGUCGUCGAAACGUGACCAUUCACGAGUACGCUUGUUGCAUGGAAUUACUGGUUCUCUGCAGGAAUUUUCGCAGAUUUCUAAUUCGUCAAAAUUCAAACAUUCGUUUUCUUCGAUUGGAGCCUGAAUACAAAUUUAU
This is a long non-coding RNA of Hylaeus anthracinus, 1095 nucleotides long. RefSeq lists it as uncharacterized. The record is from RefSeq and is a predicted model, not a curated record. The transcript is spliced from 4 exons. NCBI's taxonomy places the organism in Eukaryota, Metazoa, Arthropoda, Insecta, Hymenoptera, Colletidae.